GGGCAGUGUAGCGGCUGCCUGUAAGCGAGCGCCACUAAGGGGUAUGGAGCUCCUCAGGGACUGCUACCUCGUGGGAUCUCGGUGCAGAUGUCGGGUCCGCUCCAAGACCGCGGUUAACAGGUGGACAUUUCGUGGAAACGAAGUGUGCCCGGUUAUCUAAGGAAGGGGGAAACGCAUCAGGGAGGAAACUCAGCAGUGAGAACUCCUCGCCGCUGUCAGUGGACGGACAGCCCGAUUG
RNAcentral lists this signal recognition particle RNA (238 nucleotides) under Haptolina brevifila. Its description in RNAcentral is "partial Metazoan signal recognition particle RNA". It matches the Rfam family "Metazoan signal recognition particle RNA", at positions 1 to 250 of the family's 299-position model. Rfam says of the family: The signal recognition particle (SRP) is a universally conserved ribonucleoprotein. It is involved in the co-translational targeting of proteins to membranes. The record is from RNAcentral. Lineage: Eukaryota; Haptophyta; Prymnesiales; Prymnesiaceae.